UGUGGCCUGGUCUGGUCUUGGUCUUCGGCCCUUUUACCUGACACCUAGGAACAAUCUCCUGUAACAGCUUCUUGGCUACCACUUGUGCAGUUUCCCUCUUUGUUCGCCAUGAUUCCACCCAUCUUGAGAAUGUGUCUAUCAUCACUGUUAAGUACCUGUAUCCUAUUGUAGGUGGCUUUAGUUCAGUGAAGUCUACUUCGUAAUGCUCUCCUGGGCUUAACCCAUGUAGCCUGAUUCCCACUUCCCUAUUCCUACCUUGUUUGGCAUUCACCUGAGAACACUCUGGAUACCUCAUGGUCACUGAGCGAGCCAAGUCACAGAGGCCGGGGUUUUGUAAAAAACUGGGAAGACAAGAGAUCAGUUAGUUUGGUCUCCCCUAGGUGGGUGGUAGAAUAGAGCUGCUGGACUGGCUCUUUUCCCAAGGUGGCUGGUACAAUGAUCCUUCCAUCAUAUCUUUCCCAUCACCCCUGUGGUUGAGGAGGGUCCCACUUUCUUUUGCUUGAUUCUCCACUCCGAAGGUGUAAAUGGGGUCUUUUGGCAGAGUGGGUGGUGGGUAGACAGUAUAGUCAGAUCCUUGAUGGCCUCCACUGGGUCCAGGGCAGCUUCUCCAGCUGUCCUAUCAGCCAGGCGGUUCCCCACAGCCUCGGAUGAGUCAUCAUUGUGGCACCCUCUGCAAUGCAUCACUAUUACCUCAAGGGGGAGCCACACAGCCUCAAGGAGGGUCAAGAUUUCCUCGUUCUUAAUCUCUUUCCCAGCUGAUGUCAAGAGUCCCCUUUCCUUAAGGAACAUCGCAUGGACAUGAAUGGUGGCAAACGCGUAUCUGCUGUCUGUUUAGACAUUGAUUUUCUUCCCUCUUGCCCAUCAUAGUGCCUAUGUGAGUGCAAUAAGAUCUGCCUUCUGAGCAGAUGUACCCGUGGGGAGGGCCUGAGCACAGAUGAUUUCCUUUUGAGUGGUGAAUGGUUGCCCCAGCUCUGUGGACCCCUUGAUCAAUGAAACUACUCCCAUCUGAAAACAGUAACCUCGGCUUUGUCCAGGGGAGUGUCUCUGAGGUCAGGCUGGCAAGCCUGGGUAAGAUCUGGGAGGUCCUAGCAGUCCAGGUUGUCAUCUGGCAGCAGGGUAGCCAGGUUGAUGGCCUGGUGGGGCAGAAGGUGAGCCUGGGCUGAUCUAGGAGGAGGCUCUGGUAUUGAGUGAUUCGAUAGUUUGACAUCCAGAGGCCAGUGGCCCCCUUGGAGCAACACCUCUACAGCAUGAGGGGCUGUUAUUUCCAGCUCCUGGCCCAAUGUCAACUUAUUGGCCUCUCAAACUAGGAUGGCAGUUGCAGCUACUACCCUUAAAGAGGAAGGGCAUCCAGAGGCCACAGUCUCUUUGACAGAUAAGCCACCAGCUUCCUCCAUGGCCCCAGAUUUUGAGUCAGGACUCCUUUCACUAUGCCUCAAGCCUCGUGUACAAAUAGUCUGAAAGGUUUAGUUACAUCAGGCAAAGCUAAGGCUAGGGCUGUCACCAGGGCCUCCUUUAGCACCUGGAAUGCUUUUGGUUCUUCAUCAGUCCAUUUGAAUGGCUCAGUUCCCCCAGCCUUAGCUGAAUACAAGGGCCUGGGAAUCUCAGCAAACCCCAGUAUCCAUAGCCUGAAGUAUCUAGCAGCCCCCAGGAAUCCAAGUACCUUGGUGGUUGGAACAGGUGUCUGUAAGAUGGCUUGCUUCCAAGCCAAGGAGAGGCUAUGCUUACCUUGAUGGAACUUGUGGUCUAAAUAAGUCACUUCCUUCUGGCAUAAUUGUGCUUUUUCAGCUGAGACCUGAUACCACAGUCAUUGUAAAGUGCCAAUCAAGUCCCUUGUUCCAUCUAGACAGUCCUGGGAGUUCUUGCUGCAAGAAGCAAAUCAUCAGCAUAUUGAAGAAAGAUAGUUCAGAGUGAGUAACUUGGAAUUCAGUCAGGUCCCACUGGAAUGCUUCUCCAAAGAAGGUAGGAGAAUUUUUGAAGCCCUGUGGUAGAUGAGUCCAGGUGAGUUGACCUGUCUCCCCUGUCAGGGGAUCUGUCCAUUUAAAGGCAAAAAUAAGCUGACUCACAGACGCUAGUGGGAUUCUAAAGGACAUUCUUCAGAUCCAACACAGUGUAUACCUGAUGGUCAGGAGGCAGCAGGAUUAACAGGGUAUAGGGGUUUGGCACAAUGGGGUGCACAGUCUCUACCCACUUAUUUACUUCCCUCAGGUCCUGCACCAGCUGAUAGUCUAAAGUUCCUGGCUUCUGGACCGGUAGAAAUGGGAUGUUCCAUGAGGACCUCCAUGGAGUUAGUAUACCUGCUUUGAGAAGCCUCUGGAUGUGUAGGGCAAUCUUGAGCCUGGCCUUCAGACUCAUAGGAUACUACCAAUAUCCUAACUGGUAUGGCCGUUCCCAGAAGCAUCACUACUGGAAGGGGUGUGUGUGUGUGUGUGAAGGGCUGCUAGUCCCAGUGGGUUAGUCUCGGCCUAGACACCAGGAUACUCAGACUGUACCUGCUCUAACAGAGAACUAGAAGAGGGCUUCUCUUCUGUAUCAGGAAACAGCAAAUAUUUUUCAGACAAGGCAAUGGUGAAUACCAACUUGGGUUGGGGGCUAAGGCUAGCUGGGAUUCAGUGGGGGUAAAGGUGAUGGUAGCCUUUAGCUUCUGGAGUAGAUCUCACCCUAGUAAGGGGAAAGGGCACUCCAGGACCACCAGGAAAGGGUGUGUAACCCAUUUGUGUCCCAAGUCCACAGUUCUUUCAACAGUCAUUGGAUAUCUCUUGUUAUCCCCUGUAGCCCCCAGAUAGUAACAGUUUGAUCAGAGAGGAGCCCAGAUGGAUCCUUCAGAAUGGAGAUCUUGGGUCUUGUAUCCACUAGGAACUGGGUGGAGUGGCCCCCUACCAUUCCAGUGACCAUGGGCUCCCAGUGGCCAAGGGUGAAGGAGCCCCCGGCCCUGUCAAUCUUCUUCUUCACCCUCAGUGGGGGAGGACUAACACCUUUUUCUUAUCUCCAUUCUUUUCUCCUACUCUGCAUUCAUUUUUCCAGUGUCCAAACUGUUCGCACCUAGCACAUUGAUCCUUCCCUGAUUGGAGGCAUCUCUUCUCAGUCCCUCGCUCCUGUCUACUUGGCCCUGCUGGUGGUCCCCUUAUGGCUGCAGCCAAGAUCUUUGCUUGCCUUCUAGACAAAAUUUCGGCCUGCUUUCUGGACGCUAGUUUGGCCUGUUUCUGUUUUUCUGAGUCCCAGUUAUAGUAAACUCUUUGAGCUAUUUCCAAUAGCUGGGAAGUAUUCAUCCCUGCAAACCCUUCAAAUUUCUGUAACUUUCUCCUUAUAUCUGGAGCAGAUUGUCUGACAAAGGCCAAAUUUACCACCCAGGUAUUUUCAGAGGCCAAUAGGUCAAAAGGAGUACACACCCAGAAAGCCUCCAGAAGUCGCUUGAGGAACACUGAAUUACUUCAGUGGUUUUGGACAAAUUAAUUGGCUUCUGAGCUGCCACUCAGAGCCCAUCCAUUACAGCCUGGUGGUACCGCUCCAAUGCCUCCUUUUCCUCUUCCAUGUUGGUUUCCCAGUUGGGUUGGGUGGAAGGAAAAACCCCAUUAAUCCUUGCCCAGUGGGUCUCUCUGAUACCCCAGCCAGGACCAGGGAAUCUCCGAGUGGGUUUAAUCUGUUCCCACUCCUCUCCAGUAAAUAGCAUCAUCUCAACUGCUGACAGUCAUCCCAGGUGGGUUGGUGGGUUUGUAGAACAGAGUACAAGAGCCCCAACAAUGCCUGGAGUUUAUCAGAAAAAGGAGGAUUUGGGGACUUUCAACUAUACAAGUUGGAGGAGGAGAAAGGAAUGUAUACCAGGAAGCAAUGGUCAGAGUCUCCUGCAGGGGAUGUGCCUGUCUUAAGGGAAGAACAGCAGGUGGAUCCCAAGAUAUCAGUCAGGAACUGGGAGGUGACAAUGCCUCAACAGGGCUGAGGGUUCUGAGGAGAAAACCUUGGAGGAGGCCACAGGGCCAGGUGAGUUAUAGGGGGGAGGCAAUUCAUCAUCCCCAUUGUCUGAGGGGGGGGCAGACCAAGUGAUUAACACCGGCACCUGUGGCCAACUCAUGGCACAGGCCCAUAGCCAGGGUGGUGGAUGAAGCAUCAGCGUCAACCAUAAAUCAAUGUAAGGGUACUGGUCAGGGUGACCUGGCUUCCCUGUUACUAAUUCCCAGAUCUGGUGAACCACCUUGGGGUCUAAAGACCCUGAAUCUGGACAUCCCACAUCAAAGGUGAGCCACUCUAGUUCACACAGAGUCCAUAAUCGACCCCUUUUCAGAGGGAAGACAUGACCUAAAACACUUGGAACCUGGGAAAUAAGUUGGACACAAAAGGAAAAGACCACCCUUGUAGGUCCCAGGGACUCUAGAAACUUAACAGAUAUGGCACCAGGAGAGUCUGGGGAGGGUGACCUUCCAAAUUCUGGACCAGAUAACCUCUGUCAGUAACUGUAAUAGUAGUGGUGUUGCCAUUCCUCAAAGCAGAAAAAUUCCUAGAAAGACUGAUCUUGGACUUGACCCAAAAUCAUCAAGAGACACAAAUCCUGGAGAGAGCAGAUGUUUUGGAAUCCCAGAAAGAAAUACACGGAGACACAGAAUUCAGAGAGUCCCUCUUUUGAGUCAGAAUUGAUGGAAGGUACAAAUCACAUCAAAAUUGGGGAGAUAAUUCCAAACCUAUAAGAGUCUAUGCCCCAACCCAGUGGGAGCCUGGGAUUGAUGAGGGCAAAAAUAUGAAGUCUGAGGAGAGGACUGCACACAAAAUCCUCACGUGUCUUCCCACCAAGUGUCGAAAAGAAUUCAGGCCCCAAGUGACGAGGACACAAGACACAAGACAUGAAAACGAAACCUUCAGCCACCACUUGGCUGCCUGUGACUGCCACUACUGGCCACUGAGGGUCGUCUGCCAACCUCUCAUCUCCAGUCCUCUAUCACCCCGGGACUUCCCAGUCAGUGUCCCAACCUUAUCUUGGGAGAGUCCGUGAAGGGCCCUUGUCAGGGUUAUCUUUCGUCCUGAAACUGAAAAAGGAAACCAAAAACAGACAUUAAUAAACACUUACUUCCAAGUGGAGGAUUCUUGAGGACUCCAAAAUUUUCUGUCACCGUUGGGUCCAGUGGUCCUUCUACGUCCCUCUGGCUUGUGUCCUGUAUAUGAGGGCCCUGGAGCGUCCCAGGGGGCGCCUCCUCCAGACUCAGCCGUUUGCAUGGAGAGACAUGGUAGGAGGCCAGCCUGGGACAGCGGCUGAGUUAUCUUGCUGGGGCCUCCAAGAAAUGUUAUAUUUAGCCCAGCAGCAGAGACUUACGCCACAAGGAAGGCCGAAAUUAUGAGUUCUUUAUUAUAGAUGGUGGCCAAGGGCAAGCUCACGCUCCCAGCUCCCUUGACCCCAAAUGAGCAUUUACAGCAAGCUUAUAAAGGCAAAAACCACGCACAGGUGGCUGCUGUGGAACAUUCUGACCAUAUCUUUUGUAAGCUCAGGGGUACAGAAGCAAAUCACCAAAUUAGAUGAAAACCCAAUUUCCAACAUCUGACAAGAAAUGCCUAUAUUUAUGGCUACAGCUGUAGUAUAUUAUGUCCUUUGUUCUUAGCCAAACAGGAUAUGGUAUGUUCUGGUAUAUUGAACACACAACUCAGAGGAAGGGGAGCAGAGGUCAGGCAUGAGUCAUCAUGGAGAUACCCUGGCUGAGAUCCCUUAUUUCAACUACAAAAUAAGACAAGAUGAAAGUUGACAGUUGACUCUAGAUAAACUUAACCUAAGGGCCACUCUUUUUAAAGAAGGCUUUUUUUUUGCGAUACUGGGAUUGAACUCAGGACCUUGCAAAUGCUGUACCACUGAGCUAAAUCCCUGGCCCAGAGCUACUCUUUUUGAAACUCUGACAUUGCUCAAAUUUGGCAAGAUCUUAGGACACUGACUUCAAUUGUCUGUUACAUCCACUUCAAUGUGAGUAUGUUCUGACUGACCAUCAACAGGGAACAUUACCAUUGCCGCUGGGAAUAGGCUCCAGAUGCUAAAUUGGCAGUGACUUCUGAAAAGGAAAAAUACAUUCACAGAUGAGGGUAGGGGCUGGAGAAGUUGUGAGCAUCAAAGUUACCUGUGUGUCAACAGUACCAAAACAUGUAGAUCUGUAAAGCUGAUAAAAAGGGUUCUUGCACAUGAUUUUCUAAAAGCAAAAAAGUCCUUCUAACGGGUGUGAUGGUUAGAUUGCCUGACUUUGACUUUCUUUUCUAUUUGACUUCACAAUUUUUGGUGUGAUGCUUUUUCAGGCUCAAGCAUCAGGCUUCCCUUUUGCUUACACUCUAGGUACCAUUGAUGAUAACACACCAGUCCAACCUGAGACAGCCAGCCAGGUGAUGGGAUACCUCAAGAGCCUCAAAAUUGAGGGCUGAAGUAAUCAAGGGGGAAUUGUAUCCUGCAUUGCAAAAUAGAACUUUAAAAGUUAGGUUUUUCCUUUAGAGAUAACUGGCCUCUUGAGGCCUGGGGCAUAAACAGCUCCCCUCACUUCUCCUCAGAUGAAUAAAUAAAAUAUGCAGAUGCUGAAACCUGGAGGCCUGGAGCCUAGUUUUCUUUCCACAAGAAAGGGAACAACCAAGCUAAAGAUGGGUAAAAGUGAUAAAAGGAAGUGUGGAGAUUUGCAUUAUCUCUGUACUCCCCCUCCCUUUUGCUCCUUACAAUAAGACUCCUGUCCAACUGUAGGAGGAGAAGAGAUGGUUGAGAGGGAAACAGGCUCCUCCAUUACCUCACAAAUAGCUCCUUUUUCCUUUUUACCCGAAUAUAGUCUGAUUUGAUCACUGGCCAGCAGAUGAAACUGAGUCUAUGAGCCUAAAUGGCAGGUAAUGGUUUCUUAAUAAUUCUAUCCUACUGAACAACCUUUUGUGCAUUACUGUCUCUUUCCUCACCUAUUUAAUAAUCAUUUAGCAUUCACUAUGCUGGUAGAGUAAAAUGAGACCAAUAUACUAAGGCCUUGAGCCAGAUGUUAGCAACUAAUUUUAUUUUUAAACUAACUCCCGGAAAGUGCAUGCAUUUGGGGCCAUUGCAGACAGGCACGGAUGCUCAAGAUUAGAGUGUGUGUGUUUUAGGAAAUAUAUCUGAAUUGGGUUCUUAUACAAAAUAUUUGUUUUGAUAGUGCUUAUCUCUUAAUUAUUUAAAAUAUGUUGUCUUACAUUUUUCAAUUUGUAUUAUUGGUGUUCACUUCAGACAUCUUGCUUCCUAUUAUCUAAAAAAAUAAAUGGAGAGAGGGAUGGUACUUCACAUAUACAAACCCAGCAUACUGGGAGUCUAAACCAAAGGGUCACAAUUUCAAGGUCAAAAUGGACAAUUUAGUAAUGGG
This is a non-coding RNA of Heterocephalus glaber (naked mole-rat), 7319 nucleotides long. The record is from RefSeq and is a predicted model, not a curated record. Lineage: Eukaryota; Metazoa; Chordata; Mammalia; Rodentia; Bathyergidae.